RNAcentral lists this long non-coding RNA (217 nucleotides) under Marmota monax (woodchuck). Lineage: Eukaryota; Metazoa; Chordata; Mammalia; Rodentia; Sciuridae. The record is from RNAcentral.
UGAAGCAUGCAAAAGAAACUGUAUCCGAGAGCCCUUAAAGAGAAAACAGAGAAACAUGUAUGUACUGAAAUAAGUCUCCCAACAAUUUGAUCAGAUUUAUUUGAUACUGUGCAGUAUUCAUCUUUUAGCUUGCUCCACUGGGCUCCCCAAGGUUGGCACUUCUAGUAUCAAUGGUUCUCUAAAAGGGUAAGGAUUCGUGUUACGAUAGGGUUAGGGC